CAACUUUUGACAACGGAUCUCUAGGCUCUCGCAACGAUGAAGAACGCAGCGAAAUGCGAUAAGUAAUGUGAAUUGCAGAAUUCCGUGAAUCAUUAAAUCUUUGAACGCACAUUGCGCCCUUUGGUACUCCGAAGAGCAUAUCUGUUUGAGAAUCAGUU
RNAcentral lists this ribosomal RNA (158 nucleotides) under Clydaea vesicula. RNAcentral's name for it is "5.8S ribosomal RNA". It matches the Rfam family "5.8S ribosomal RNA". From Rfam's summary of the family: 5.8S ribosomal RNA (5.8S rRNA) is a component of the large subunit of the eukaryotic ribosome. It is transcribed by RNA polymerase I as part of the 45S precursor that also contains 18S and 28S rRNA. Lineage: Eukaryota; Fungi; Chytridiomycota; Chytridiomycetes; Lobulomycetales; Lobulomycetaceae. The record is from RNAcentral.